GAGAACCCGUAGCUCACCGUUAACGAGAAGAGAGGUGUUUCCAUCGCAAGCUUCUGCCGUUGCCAGUGACGCCAUCUGAGAUGUACGUUUAAAAGAAUUUAAGAUCAUAUACAGAUUAAUUUUAUCAAAUACAUAUAAAACAAAUCAUUUCCUCUUAUUUUUGGAUUGCAGAUCGAUCUUUAGAAUCCAAAUUAACCGGCCGGCAAGGUAACAUGCCGAUCGACAAAGAACAAAUACAUGAUUUAAUUUGCUGAAAUUCUAAGAACAAAUCAUUUAAUUUGCAGAAAAAUCUCCGAUCCCCAAAAUUAAAAUUUCAGAAUUGAAACCAAAAUAAAAUAAUCGAAUUCAAAAAAAACGAAGAAACAUACCACAGAUUCUGCCA
This 382-nucleotide long non-coding RNA is filed under the name Zostera marina. RNAcentral describes it as "long non-coding RNA (ZMAR_LNC004997)". The record is from RNAcentral. Lineage: Eukaryota; Viridiplantae; Streptophyta; Magnoliopsida; Alismatales; Zosteraceae.